GGGCCUUGAUAACGCGACUCUCGCUACUGGUCCGCGCAAGAUGUCAGCGCCAUGUUGGAUUCAAUCUACAAUGGAUGAGGGUCGGUGAGGGUGAAGAUUCCUCAUAUGUCAUCCGACUCCGUCACAAUCUGGAAGUCUGGAGUUGACGCAACAAAGAGCUCAAUAAACGGGGGUGGAGAUAUGUUUCUUAACAAAACACAGGCCCAGAGGGAAGGAACAAACGUGUGUAUGAGCGUAAAAAAGAGGCUUGAUGUAUUUUUAAAAAUACAGAAUAUAUAACUAAUAGAUGAAAAAAGUGUGUAAAGCCACGGUUCACUUUCAGGUCAAAACGAACCAGAACGCAAAAGGUGGAACAAUUUAGUUUAAA
This is a non-coding RNA of Pimephales promelas (fathead minnow), 367 nucleotides long. The record is from RefSeq and is a predicted model, not a curated record. NCBI's taxonomy places the organism in Eukaryota, Metazoa, Chordata, Actinopteri, Cypriniformes, Leuciscidae.